AUCGCAUGCUGGCGGCAUGCUUAACACAUGCAAGUCGAGCGGAAACGCCCUACAUCUUGCUCUCUCGCUGACGACCAACGGACGAGUGACUCAUGUCUGGCCUGCUCCUUGAUGUAGGAUGACUUCUACAGACUGCGGCUACUACCACAUCAUAGCUCCUGCUGACUGGUGGGGGUAGCAACGUUUCCUCUUGCUGUCGAAGGACUCCCGACUUAUCUACUUGUUGGGGGGGGAAUGGCUUACCCUAGCUUACAAUGCCUACCUGGCUGAAAAGGAGACCCGCCCCCUUGGGACUGAAAUACCGCCCCAAAUCCUACCGGAAGGCACCAUGGGGAAUUUUGGCCCAUGGGCCGAAACCUGGAUCCACCCCUGCCCCGGGUGUAUGACAGCCUUCGGGUUGUAAACCGCUUUCACCUGUGACGAGCGUGGAGUGACUUUAAUGGGUAUAGAAUCACCGGCUUCCUACAUGACACCCCCCGCUGUUAUACGUACGCUGCCAGCGUUGUCCGGAUUUAUUGAGCGUAAAUCGCUCUUACGUGGUUGAUCGCGUCCGAAGUGUAAUCUUGGGGCUUAACCCUGAGCGUGCUUUCUAUACCAGUUGACUUGAGAAAAGUAUGGGAGAAUGGAAUUCCUGGUGGAGCGGUGGAAUGCACAUAUAUCAGGAGGAACACCAGUGGCGAAGGUCGUUCUCUGGGCCUUUCCUGACGCUGACGAGCGAAAACGUGGCGAGCGAACAUGCUUACAUCCCUGCCACUCCACUCUAUAACGGUGGGUACGAGGUGUGGGGUCCAUUCCACGGGUUCCGUGCCGUAGCUUACGCUUUACCUACCCCGCCUGGCGAGUACGGCGGCAAAGCUCAAACUCAAUGGAGGUGACCGGCCCCCGCGCAGGCGGCGGAGCAUUCGUAUUAAUUCGAUGCAACACCCAUAACCUUACCUGGGUUUGACAUGGAUCGCGAGCGCUCAGAGAUGGCUUUGCCUCUUUUGGGACCGGUUCAGAGGGGGUGCAUGCCUGUCGUCACCUGGUGUGCUGAGAUGAUUGCUUAACUCACCGCACCACUACAACCCUUGUUCAUUGUUGCCAUCACGUUAUGGUGGGGACUCCCUGUAAACCACCGGGGUGAAGUCGGAAGCACGUCGGAAUUACUUCCACCUAUCAUGCCCCGUUAUCGUCCAGGGCUUUCAGGAUGCUACAAACGAGUGGCACAAAGAUGGCCGAGACUUUAACUCGUAAACAAAUUUCCGAAAACCGGGUGUCAGCUCCAAAUUGGCUCUGCGAAUUCCACCUUCUUGAUUUCAGAGUCAAUAGUCACUCCAUGAAUAAAACCUUUCCGGGAAAUUGUUCCCGGGGCU
RNAcentral lists this ribosomal RNA (1352 nucleotides) under uncultured bacterium. RNAcentral's name for it is "partial 16S ribosomal RNA". It matches the Rfam family "Bacterial small subunit ribosomal RNA", at positions 28 to 1381 of the family's 1533-position model. The record is from RNAcentral.